RNAcentral lists this ribosomal RNA (253 nucleotides) under uncultured bacterium. Its description in RNAcentral is "partial 16S ribosomal RNA". It matches the Rfam family "Bacterial small subunit ribosomal RNA", at positions 524 to 776 of the family's 1533-position model. The record is from RNAcentral.
UACGUAGGGGGCGAGCGUUGUCCGGAUUUAUUGGGCGUAAAGAGCGUGUAGGCGGCCAGGUAGGUCUGCUGUGAAAACUCGAGGCUCAACCUCGAGACGUCGGCGGAAACCAUCUGGCUAGAGUCCGGAAGAGGAGAGUGGAAUUCCUGGUGUAGCGGUGAAAUGCGCAGAUAUCAGGAAGAACACCCGUGGCGCAGGCGGCUCUCUGGGACGGUACUGACGCUGAGACGCGAAAGCGUGGGGAGCGAACAGG